Molecule: ribosomal RNA, 303 nt
Filed under: uncultured bacterium
Lineage: Bacteria
Description: bacterial SSU rRNA
Rfam family: Bacterial small subunit ribosomal RNA
Source: RNAcentral
UGGGGAAUAUUGCACAAUGGGCGAAAGCCUGAUGCAGCAACGCCGCGUGAGUGAUGACGGUCUUCGGAUUGUAAAGCUCUGUCUUUUGGGACGAUAAUGACGGUACCAAAGGAGGAAGCCACGGCUAACUACGUGCCAGCAGCCGCGGUAAUACGUAGGUGGCAAGCGUUGUCCGGAUUUACUGGGCGUAAAGGAUGUGUAGGCGGAUACUUAAGUGAGAUGUGAAAGCCCCGGGCUUAACUUGGGGACUGCAUUUCAAACUGGGUGUCUAGAGUGCAGGAGAGGAAAGCGGAAUUCCUAGUG